UUGAACGCUGGCGGCAGGCCUAACACAUGCAAGUCGAACGGUAACAGGAAGCAGCUUGCUGCUUCGCUGACGAGUGGCGGACGGGUGAGUAAUGUCUGGGAAGCUGCCUGAUGGAGGGGGAUAACUACUGGAAACGGUAGCUAAUACCGCAUAAUGUCGCAAGACCAAAGAGGGGGACCUUCGGGCCUCUUGCCAUCGGAUGUGCCCAGAUGGGAUUAGCUUGUUGGUGGGGUAACGGCUCACCAAGGCGACGAUCCCUAGCUGGUCUGAGAGGAUGACCAGCCACACUGGGACUGAGACACGGUCCAGACUCCUACGGGAGGCAGCAGUGGGGAAUAUUGCACAAAGGGCGCAAGCCUGAUGCAGCCAUGCCGCGUGUAUGAAGAAGGCCUUCGGGUUGUAAAGUACUUUCAGCGGGGAGGAAGGGAGUAAAGUUAAUACCUUUGCUCAUUGACGUUACCCGCAGAAGAAGCACCGGCUAACUCCGUG
RNAcentral lists this ribosomal RNA (489 nucleotides) under uncultured bacterium. RNAcentral describes it as "partial 16S ribosomal RNA". It matches the Rfam family "Bacterial small subunit ribosomal RNA", at positions 30 to 507 of the family's 1533-position model. The record is from RNAcentral.